Molecule: ribosomal RNA, 236 nt
Filed under: uncultured bacterium
Lineage: Bacteria
Description: partial 16S ribosomal RNA
Rfam family: Bacterial small subunit ribosomal RNA
Source: RNAcentral
CGAACGGGUGAGUAACGCGUGAGGAACCUGCCCCAAAGAGGGGACAACAGUUGGAAACGACUGCUAAUACCGCAUAAGCCCACGGCUCGGCAUCGAGCAGAGGGAAAAGGAGCAAUCCGCUUUGAGAUGGCCUCGCGUCCGAUUAGCUAGUUGGUGAGGUAACGGCCCACCAAGGCGACGAUCGGUAGCCGGACUGAGAGGUUGAACGGCCACAUUGGGACUGAGACACGGCCCAG